RNA transcript from Ficedula albicollis (Collared flycatcher), 9354 nucleotides. It is a transcript of the gene named USP6 N-terminal-like protein, with no coding region annotated. The transcript is spliced from 17 exons. NCBI's taxonomy places the organism in Eukaryota, Metazoa, Chordata, Aves, Passeriformes, Muscicapidae. The record is from RefSeq and is a predicted model, not a curated record.
GAAUGCGGGCAUCGAUCCCGCUACCUCUCGCAUGCUAAGCGAGCGCUCUACCAUUUGAGCUAAUUCCCCGCGCUGCUUGCAGAGCUGCCCAGUGCCCCCAUAUUCACUUCUCGCGAGACGUCGUGCGCUGCCGGCCGUUACACGUCCUGCCCGGGGCUCCCAGUGCGCCUGCGCGGCAGCGCGACGGCCGGGGCUCGGCGGCGGGCCGGGCUGGGCGCGCGCCGGGAGAGGAGGAUGCGCCCCGCGGAUUUGCCAGUUCCUGUGUGCCAAUGGGAAUUGUGUUCUGGCUCCUGGUCAGUGCUAUAAGAGAAGCUGAUGCUCUGAACAGUGAGCCUGGGGCACAAGAGAGUGUGGAUUGCCUCCUGCCUUGCCUCUUCUCCCAGCUGCCUGUGGUGAGCUCUCACGUGCCAGAGGACGAGGGUGGAGGAGAGCAGCCACGUGGAGCUGGGGUGGUGUGGGUGAGCCAAAGGGCAUUUGAUCGGUGGGCUUUGGCAACUUUCACCCUGCAGCAGAGACAACUGGCUCCUGCCAGGUAGAUGCCUUCAGGGGAGUGGACAACUCCAGCUGAACUGAUGAAUCUUGGCACCUGAUAAAAGGCUCAGCUUCUGAUAUGAAGAAGGAUAUAGAGUCUUUAAUAGCCCAAGAAAAAGCAGAAAUCGUCGCCAAGUAUGAGAAGGGCAGACAGGAAGGAGCUCAGAUUGACCAGUGGGAAGAUGCCGAUUUCACGCUGUACAAAGUUACAGACCGGUUUGGAUUCCUGCACGAGCAGGAGCUGCCAACCCGCACCGCCUUGGAGGAGAAGCAAAAACAGCAGGAAAUAGAACGUGUGGACAAGUGGCUUAAAAUGCUGAAGAAAUGGGGCAAAUACAGAAACAGUGACAAGAUGUGCCGGCGUGUGUACAAAGGGAUCCCGCUGCAGGUGCGGGGCCAGGUCUGGUCACUUCUGCUGGAUGUCGAGAAGAUGAAGAAGGAGAAUGAAGGAAAAUAUGAGCAAAUGAAAGAACAAGCAAAGAGUUUUUCGUCGGAAAUCAAGCAGAUAGAUUUGGAUGUUAACCGCACCUUCCGAAACCACAUCAUGUUUCGGGAUCGCUAUGGAGUGAAGCAGCAGGCACUCUUCCACGUCCUGUCAGCAUACUCAGUUUAUAACACUGAAGUGAGCUACUGCCAAGGGAUGAGCCAGAUUGCAGCCAUCCUCCUGAUGUACUUGAAUGAAGAGGAUGCGUUCUGGGCGCUGGCACAGCUGCUCACCAACCAGCGCCACGCCAUGCACGGUUUUUUCAUUCCUGGGUUCCCGAAGCUGCAGAGGUUUCAAGCCCACCAUGAGCAAAUUUUAAACAAACUGUUUCCGAAACUGAAGAAGCACAUGGACAAGGAGCAGAUGACUACUGGGAUUUACACAACCAAGUGGUUCCUGCAGUGUUUCAUUGACCGGACCCCAUUCACUCUGACCUUGCGGCUGUGGGAUAUCUAUAUCCUGGAAGGGGAGCGGGUGCUGACGGCCAUGGCUUACACCAUCCUCAAACUGCACAAAAAGCGCUUGCUGAAGAUGGCACUGGAAGAUUUACGUGAAUUUCUGCAGGAGAAAAUUGCUGCUUCCCUGCAGUACGAGGACGAUGCUGUCAUCGAGCAGCUGCAGGUGUCAAUGACUGAACUGCGCAAGAUGAAAUUUGACCUGCCCCCACCAGCAAAGCCUGAGGAGUUUCCAAGGAAACCCCUGGGCCUGGAGCUCUCCCUCAACCCAGUAGCCAUAAAGGAAAACGCAGCGGCCAAUGGCCAGAAUGGCCGGGUGAGCGAGCACACUCCAGACAGGGAGCCCCAUCCCCAGAGAGUUCCUGGUGCACCAGGAGGAAUGACAGUGGUGGAAGCAAGGACUCCCACUUUCCAGGGUAGUGAAGCAGCUGAAGAAACAAACAUGCCUGUUUCAGAUGGGCAGCCACCAGGUGAGGAGGGUCAUGUGGAGCCCAUCAUGGACAGACAGCCAUCAUCUCUUCUGAAGGCAAGUGAGACACAGGCCCAGCAACACCUCCUGCCCACGGUCCUGCCUCCAGAGCAGCCUCUUCUUGCUCCUGGCUGUGCUGUGGUGGAUCAUGGAGUGUCCCUCCCUGCCCCAGCUGAGCACAGCUCCUCAGACUCCUCUCUCCAAAACAGGCUGGCUCCUCCUGACUCCAGCACCACUGAGCUUUCUGCUACGGACCAGGCAGCAUGGCAGCCAAAUCCCACUGCCCUGCCAGUGGGAGAACUGGCAUCUUCCCUGAGCAGAGAUGAAGUGCUCGAAGCAGCCCCCCAUCCUCUGCCAGCUGGCUGCCAGCAGCUCUCCUGCACGUCACAGAGCGAUGGCUCCCCCGAGGGCGGGGAGGAGGCGGUGGAUGACAGGCACUGCAGGGCGGUGCUGCCGGACAAAACGGGCCUGAAGCGCUCGGCAUCCAAAGCUGCAUCCACAGGAGAGCUCCUCAGCCUGCAGCACAACGGGCCGGGCGGUGCCAGCGGCACCAGGCGCUGGCCCGAGGCUGUGGGCGCGCUGCCUGCGCACAGGCAGGCGGGGGGCAGCGUGCCCGUCUUGGCCAGCAGAGAGCCGGAGGCAGCAGGGCUGGCCGAGGGCUGCCCUGCCCCGCGGGCACCGUCCCCCGUGGUGGAAGGGAACAGCCCCUACGUGGUUAUCAAAACCACCACUCCCCUCCACCUGGCCCAUGCCACAGAACAGGACUUCUUGAACAGAAAGCAGGUGGCAUUGCCUCUGUCAGAGACUGGACAUUCCCUGCCUACCGCCUCCAUGCCACCACCUCUUAUGCCAGACCCAGAGGAGGUGGAGAUCCAGAAAAGCCUCCAGAAACCAUUGAAUGCACUGAAAGCCCCACGACCCCCGCUGAGCCCCAAACCAAAAUUACCGCUGCAGGUUGCCAAAUCCCGCUCAGAGAACAGCUUCCUUUCAGGCUCUCCUUCCCUGGCAAAGCUGCCCAAAUCGGUGACGUUCUAGUGGGGAUGGGGAAGGGGAAGCUAAGGGAGAAGAAGUGGGUUCUGGAGAAGCACCCUUGCCCCAUUUACAGGAUCCCCUUCUGUUAGCAGGGCUGUUGGGGUGACAGCACAGCACCAUCACACAUCAAGCUGUGCUUUGGUACGAACAGCCAGCGAGGAGACAAAGUGAUGGCCACCAGCGCUAGGAGACACCAACAGAUUGGAUUUGCAUGUUUCCUAUGGACAAAUUGGAAAAUGCUUUCAUUUUUUGUUCCUCAAAGUUCCCCAAGCCUCAUCAUUUGGGGAAAGAGGCAGGGCUGGUACUCACAAGCAGCCUCAUUGCACAAGCUGCUUCGUGUCACCUCCCAGCCACCAGCUCCUGUGAACCUGUUGGCUCUCAGGCAGUGGCAGUUGGGACAAGAUUUGAACAUCUGCCAUGGUUACCUACAUGACAGGCAGUGCAGGGUUUAGAUAUGGCAUUUAUCCAACUGCCAAAACAGCACCCCUGUCAAGGAGAGAGCAGAAGUAGCCAGAAGGGCAGCUUCCCCAAGGGAAGGUGAGUUGUGCUAGGUUUGAGGGUUGCAUUCUUCCAUUAAACAGCCUUGGUUCUCUUGGUGUUGAAGAUACUGUUUAUUGGUAUCCUUGAUCCCCAGACUCUCUCCACAUGCCUGGCUGUGGCACUCUCACCCUGUCCUUGCAGGGACCAGGGACAGGCGUGGCUCCACCAUCUCCUCGGACAGCAUCCCUCCAGCUAAUGCAGGAGCCACAGAGGUACCCAGCCUUGAACUGGUGCUUGAUGGGGCUCUCAGGUAUGGUUUUGGGGUGCCAAGCACCCACUGCAGCAAGUCCUUCCUAGGGGGAAACCACCCCUGGGACUUGCCCACAGGUAAGCCUAAGCCCUUCCCUCUUACCGGAGCAGUGUAAGACCUCAGGGUGAACAUAAGCCAUGCCUGGUGUCCAGCCUGGACUGAAUGCCAGGCCUCCGGCUGCUGCCAGGAGCACCAGGAUAUGGCAUGCUCCCUGCAGCAGGGAGGUGUCAGCACAGGAGGUGCUUGUGUCCCUGAGGGGAUGGGAGGGUAGACAGCCCCUGUGUCAUUCCAGCAGUCCCCCUUGUCCCCUCCUAUGCCCCCCAGGGCCUGGGUGCUGCUUGAAGGGGACAAAGAGCAGGACAAUCCCAAAGCCCAAGGUUACAGAUACCCCCUUGCUGGACAGCAUUGGGACCAGCAGCAAAUCAAUGCUAUAGAUGGUAUUGAGGCAGCUGGUAUUUGCCAUAUUAUCUAUCCCCCUUUUCCUGGUUGAGCCACUGCUGUCAUCACAAGCAGCUCUCCAGCUCCCAGGGCUGGUCCCCAAGGCAGAACUGCAAACUUUCCAAGCUGUGCUCAGCUCCGGUGCCCUGGCAGCCCCCCUGUGGCUCCUGUCCUUCCUGGCUCAGGAGAUGGGUCAGGCAAGAGACCACGUUUGUCCUUGCUGCUCUCUGGCUCUCUGCCAGGCCCCAGCUGUGCUCAUCACCAUCCCUGCCCACCUCUCACUACAUGGAAAGCUCAUCAACCCCUGCGUGCCUCCGCAGGGCUUCAGCCAGUCGGCACUGAAUAAUUGAUGCUAAGUGGAGCCUGGAGCAGAGCCAAACUAAGGGAGGGAGCAAGGCUUUGUGCUGGUUUAGGCUCUGCUUCCAGGAUACAGCAGGGGGAGAGACAUGGGUGUGCUGUGUCUGGCAGGUUUGUGCCCCAGCCAGUUUGGCAGGGCACUUGGAGUUUGGCUGGGCCUUGCAGCGUUCCUCCUCUUGGGCUUGCUGUGCUGCUCAUGUGCUGCUGUGUCCUGCUGCCAUGGCAGUGUUGCUGUAGGAGUAGCAUGCUGCUCUUGUGCUCAUGUGGCAGUGGUGGAUGGGAUGUGGGGAGCAGAGCAAGGGCACCCCCAGUCCCAGCAGCCCCUGCUAGGGAUGAUACCUUGACUCUCCUAAGCUACAGACCCUGGACUCAACCCAUAGCAAGAGCAAAGGAGUUGCACAUGGGGCCAGGCCUAUCUGCCUUUUCCCCUUCCCACCAAUUGCUGGUGGCCAGGAUGGUGGCUGUCACACCAUCCUCUGAGCAAUGUCAUCCCCUUCCUGCAGCACAUCCCCAAGUAUAAAGCAGCAUAUGGAGAAAAUAACAGCCUGGCGUUAGUUUAAAGAGGCCCACCUGACUGCUUCCCAAACCAUCUCCCAAAUCCUACUGCCUCAGCAUCUGAGGAGGCCCACAGGGUAUACAUCAGCAUCCUCUUCACCUACAAGGAUGUGGGCACCAGGACAGUGCAGGAGACAAGCAAACCACAGCUGAAAUGUCUUGCCAGGAGACAGCAGGUGGACCCAUCCCACAAGCAUCCUUACUGGCAGCAGUUACAAAAGAGCCCAAGAUGGGAAUGGAGAAGACUUAGAAGGCACACACAAAGACAUUAGUCCAAGGGAUUGGAGUCACAAAGCCUGGCUGUUCUUCCACACAGUAAAACAGUCUCCUCCUUAAGAUACAGAGAAAGGUAAACAAACUUCUCAUUUUGUUCAAAACUGGUAUGAGCUCCCUUAGAGGUACCUGUGGCUACAUGGGAUGCAAUAUCACAAGCCCCUCUUCCAGUUAAGAGCCUGGGCCACUCUGGUGCCCUGAAGGCCACUCAGCCUGGCCUCACAUCAGAGCCCUGCUCCUGGCACAUCUAAGCCUACAGACUUAGAUAAGGCUUGGGGAAGCUGGUUCUCAAGUGGCUUUGCUUACCUUUAUGGUGAAGGCAACAAGUGAUACAGAAGUACUGCUUAGGCUGGAAAGGUUUGCAGCAGUGGCUGUAGUCCAGAAAGGAAACCUGGUCUGCUUCUCUACCCAACCACACUGCAGGUGAGGGGGAUGAGGCCAGCAUUUAGCCAAGGCUGCUCUGUGAAACUCAGCCUUUCAUUCAGCUGCCCCUACCACCGCCCUCACAUCUCAAGUCUCACUCCAGCACUGAGUCAUUGCUGCCAGCUCCUGCACAACCCAGGUCUUUGCCAAAGCCCUCAGCAAGCACCAUGCACUCACCUGCUUUGGAGUCACCCUCUCUGCUGGCUUAGGAGAAUGAGGGUGGAAGCCCUCAUAGACCAAAAGGCAUGAGAUCUGUUCACACACUGGUUCAGCAUCUUUAAGGACUUGUAAGCAAUUCUGGCAGUUGACUCAGCUGUGAUGUCUCUGGUGCCCCAACCCCUCUGUAACAGGGUGUGGGGCACUUGAAUGAUGUGAGAGAAGAACAUGUAUUAUACGUCUGUCCUGAGACAUCUGGACCUGACCAGACUAGAACAGACCUUGUCAGCUAUUCUGUCAUUUAAGUACAGGUUCAAAGGUGGCACUCCUCCAUCAAGGCAUAUGCAGUCUCAACAUAAUCAGUAGGAUGCUGACUGAAGCCUUGUCAGAGCUGGUUUUCACACUGGCUGGAGAUCCACAGCACAGCACAAGUUUAGUUCAGCUUUGCAUGGCCAGCUGAAGAGAUCACAAUAGCCAGAGAUGAGCUGAUGUACACAAAUACAGCAAGAAGCUCACCUCUGUGGAUUCUUUUCCAGCUUUGGCUAUGCAAUACAACAUAACUGUACAUUCUGCUCACCUGAGCUCGUGCCUCUGAAGCAGUACUGAGGUACACAACAAACUCCUUAUCAUAAGGGAAACAACUGCAGUGUCUGAAAAUUUCAUCUUCCAGUCCCAGUACUUCUAGAACAAACGUGCCUUGAAUAACUAUGGGGAAAAUCAACUCCAAACCCCUCAAUUUAUUUCCCAAACCUACAUUCACUCCAGUGAAACUGUAAUCCUGGUAUUACUUUCAGACUUGAGAAGUUCAGCUAGCAUUGUGAGCUCAGGUACCAGCCUCCUGCCUGUCAGGGGCUAGCAAGAUGAUGUCUUGUCCCCAAAUCAUCAGCACCAAGGCAGCAAGUGAGAAAGCCAAGUCAAGAGUAACAACUCCACCUGAGAGAAGUGAUACAAUCUGGUUUUUGCAAACAGCAAAGAUCAGACCAGAUCACAGCUGAUGCAUCUUGAUCUGUUGUGAUUUUCCUCCUGGAACAAAAAUGCAGUACAGCAUUAAUAUACAAUUAAAACGUGGCUUUUGGAGAAGAGCUGUGGUGUCAAGCUUUUAGGACCUCCUUUUGCUCCUAACCUACCUCCAACUUUUAGCAUGGACUUGAACAAUGACCUGUGUCUGGAUUUCUUGUGACCUUCUAAUUACAGCAAAAAGCUAACCAGCUCCUGUGAUGGUCUGUCACUGACCUGGACUGUUUGACAAGCUUGAAAACCUUACCCUGAGCGCAGAAACCUCUUUGAAAGGGAAUGCUCUUACUUCAGCUUCCUGCUCCUCACCAAACUCUUGUAAGUAAUUUGUAUUCUGGCCAGUGCUGUUCUAGCAUACCCUCACGACAAUGUACCAGUUUCUUGGAACUGCAGCCCUGCAAACACACCUUGGCCCAGGUGCUCCUCAGCUCCCAGUGCUUGACUAUGGCAUUUGGCUCCCAGCCAGAAAUGAGAGGAGAUUCUCAGUCCUUGAGAGAGCUCCAGUAUGUUACUUCUCUGAAGGCCUCCAGCUAGUACUAUCCCAUCCUUCUAGAAGGGGAUAAGUUCUACUGCAGAUGAAGACCACUAGGUUCCUAGUGCAGUAACAACUCCAAGCAAGUGCCCCCAAGUCAUCUUCUAGAAGGACAAAGAACCCUGUCCUGUGGCCAGUUGUGCACAAGAUGCCAACUUUAGGAACAAACCCCAGGCUUCAGACUUGAAACAACUCAGAGUGGGAGGUUUUCUGGGCAUUUCUGGUCCAGUCGCACCAUGUGACAUCAGGUUCAGCAUCUUCAGCAAUCCUCCAGCGCAGGGACAGAUGCUGCUGCAAACAGCACACCCAGCUACAGGCAAGGCACUCUCCCCUUGGGCAACUUCUCCCACUCCAGCUGGUAUCAGCCCUUCUGCAGGAACAGGGUGCCAGGCAGCUGCAGCCAGGGCGAGGGUUGUGCCCUACAGCAGUUCAGAACAGGCAUUUACAGAAAGCAAGCCAUUAGUACAAGUCCCCUCUUGCCCAGGCCAAAAGCAAAGGCAGCACCCUCAAGGAGCAUGGGAGCUGAAUUCUGCUGCCUUAAUUCUGCUGCUGCUUGAUGGGCAGCAUGGAGGAUGGGGAGUGGGAUGGGAGGUUGCUUGGAUGGAUGCUAGGAAGCCCUGAGUGGGCUGUGGCUUUGUGCUGGGGGUGACCGGGGUUUCUGUACUGGUUUUUCCAUAUGAGGCAUGUGACUCAUGCCACCCUCGCCACUCCAAACCCAGACCAACCUUGGCUGCCAAAUCCAGCCCCUCUUCAGGUCUGGGCUAGCCCAUGCAGAACAGCUCCCUGCCACACUCCGCUGGAUCACCUUCCCCCUUUGAUGCUCCUCAUUCUGGAUGCCAGCUAAAUUAGCCUGUGCUAUAGCUUGGAAGAGGGAAAGACAGCGAACACCAAGCCACCCGCUGCACUGAGUGCAAUGCCCUGUCUUGGGGCUGCAAGUGAAAGGCACAUAGGUCAGACCUCAAGCAAAAACCGCAAAGGAGCAGAGCUAAGCAAAGAGAGGUUCCCAACAGAUUAGCCCUUAUCCAAAACACUCUAACCCACUCUAAACCCAAGGAUGAGAAGCCUGAAUCCUUUAGUCUUAGUUACUGAGCAGCCAGACAGCUCCUGCAGCUUCUUGACAUGCUCUCCAGUAAGGAAGCCAUGCACAGGGCAGACAAGGAUUUGCUUACCUGUACAUACUGGAGCAGCCCAAGGUGUAUAUGCUAUACAGGUGUUAGCACAGCUGGAAGGUACCACAAAGUCCUAAUUCUACCUCUAGAGCACAACACGUGAUGGAGGUCUUGUGCCAGAAAGAGCUGACAGGAAGGGAGUCAGGGAAGCAACAAACUGCUGAGGUGAACCCAGCUCUCGAAUCUCCUCCCUGAAUCUUCUUCCCUUCCAGGCAUUGCAUCCGAGGCCAUAGAUCCCACAAGGACUAGGCUGAAAGCAAAGCACUCAAGGGGUGCCAAGGACAGGCCUGGACUGGUUGCGCUCUUCCGCUUUCCCAAAACUUGGGGCCUGCAGAGUUUCAGGUGGGCUGGGGAGGACAUAACAAAGACUUGCUGGAGACAGAGACAAGCUGUCCUGCCCUGAGAGCUUGUCUCUCCCACCCCAAUCACCUCCAUGGAUCUACAGCAUGACUUUGGUCUGUGGAGAGCAAAUCUCAGCACCCUUUCCUCCCCGCCAUCCCACCAGCGAUCCUUCUGGAGCACCAGCAGCAGCAGCCUCUGGAAGGAGGACACAGCCAUCAAGGUGAUUUGUUGAGACGAUCAAAUAAUAAUUUACUGUGAUUCAAUCUGUGGCUUUGUACAGUUGCCGGGGUGGGAGGAGGCCAAAGGAUGAGGGGAUGGGGAUAAAAAAAAAAAA